RNAcentral lists this transfer RNA (72 nucleotides) under Homo sapiens (human). RNAcentral describes it as "tRNA-Glu-CTC-8-1". The record is from RNAcentral. Lineage: Eukaryota; Metazoa; Chordata; Mammalia; Primates; Hominidae.
CCCCUGGUGGUCUAUCGGUUAGGAUUCAGACCUCUCACCACUGCUACCCAUGCUCGAUUCCUGGUCAGGGAA